RNAcentral lists this ribosomal RNA (462 nucleotides) under uncultured bacterium. RNAcentral describes it as "bacterial SSU rRNA". It matches the Rfam family "Bacterial small subunit ribosomal RNA", at positions 8 to 462 of the family's 1533-position model. The record is from RNAcentral.
AGAGUUUGAUCCUGGCUCAGAACGAACGCUGGCGGCAUGGAUUAGGCAUGCAAGUCGAACGCUUUUAAUGUUGUAGCAAUACAUCAUUAAGAGAGUGGCGCAAGGGUGAGGAACACGUGAGUAAUCUGCCCUCAAGUUGGGGAUAACCCCGCGAAAGCGGGGCUAAUACCGAAUGUGGUUAUACGAACGCAUGUUUGUAUAACUAAAGGUUUACUGCUUGAGGAUGAGCUCGCGUCCCAUUAUGCUAGUUGGUGAGGUAACGGCUCACCAAGGCUAUGACGGGUAGGUGGUCUGAGAGGAUGGUCACCCACACUGGGACUGAGACACGGCCCAGACUCCUACGGGAGGCAGCAGUGGGGAAUUUUGGACAAUGGGGGCAACCCUGAUCCAGCCAUGCCGCGUGAGUGAAGAAGGCCUUCGGGUUGUAAAGCUCUUUCAGACGGAAAGAAACGGUCACGGCCA